GACGAACGCUGGCGGCGUGCCUAAUACAUGCAAGUAGAACGCUGAAGCGAGGAGCUUGCUCUUCUUGGAUGAGUUGCGAACGGGUGAGUGACGCGUAGGUAACCUGCCUUGUAGCGGGGGAUAACUAUUGGAAACGAUAGCUAAUACCGCAUAACAAUGGAUGACACAUGUCAUUUAUUUGAAAGGGGCAAUUGUUCCACUACAAGAUGGACCUGCGUUGUAUUAGCUAGUAGGUGAGGUAAUGGCUCACCUAGGCGACGAUACAUAGCCGACCUGAGAGGGUGGUCGGCCAAACUGGGACUGGGACACGGCCCAGACUCCUACGGGAGGCAGCAGUAGGGAAUCUUCGGCAAUGGGGGCAACCCUGACCGAGCAACGCCGCGUGAGUGAAGAAGGUUUUCGGAUCGUAAAGCUCUGUUGUAAGUCAAGAACGGGUGUGAGAGUGGAAAGUUCACACUGUGACGGUAGCUAACCAGAAAGGGACGGCUAACUACGUG
RNAcentral lists this ribosomal RNA (497 nucleotides) under uncultured bacterium. RNAcentral describes it as "partial 16S ribosomal RNA". It matches the Rfam family "Bacterial small subunit ribosomal RNA", at positions 28 to 507 of the family's 1533-position model. The record is from RNAcentral.